GACAGAGGAGGCUAGCGUUGUUCGGAAUCACUGGGCUUAAAGCGCGUGUAGGCGGCUCGUCAAGUGCCUUGUGAAAUCCCCCGGCUCAACCGGGGAACUGCUGGGCAUACUGUCGGGCUUGAGGCAGGUAGGGGUCACUGGAACUCCAGGUGGAGCGGUGAAAUGCGUAGAUAUUUAGAGGAACGCCCGAGGCGAAAGCGGGUGACUGGGCCUGUCCUGACGCUGAGACGCGAAAGCGUGGGGAGCAAACGGG
Molecule: ribosomal RNA, 253 nt
Filed under: uncultured bacterium
Lineage: Bacteria
Description: partial 16S ribosomal RNA
Rfam family: Bacterial small subunit ribosomal RNA
Source: RNAcentral